UACGUAGGGGGCAAGCGUUAUCCGGAUUUACUGGGUGUAAAGGGAGCGUAGACGGCGGUGCAAGCCAGAUGUGAAAGCCCGGGGCUCAACCCCGGGACUGCAUUUGGAACUGUAUGGCUGGAGUGUCGGAGAGGCAGGUGGAAUUCCAUGUGUAGCGGUGAAAUGCGUAGAGAUAUGGAGGAACACCAGUGGCGAAGGCGGCUUCCUGGUCUGCAACUGACACUGAGGCGCGAAAGCGUGGGGAGCAAACAGG
Molecule: ribosomal RNA, 253 nt
Filed under: uncultured Blautia sp.
Lineage: Bacteria; Bacillati; Bacillota; Clostridia; Lachnospirales; Lachnospiraceae
Description: partial 16S ribosomal RNA
Rfam family: Bacterial small subunit ribosomal RNA
Source: RNAcentral